Long non-coding RNA from Homo sapiens (human), 1061 nucleotides. RefSeq lists it as uncharacterized. NCBI's taxonomy places the organism in Eukaryota, Metazoa, Chordata, Mammalia, Primates, Hominidae. The record is from RefSeq and is a predicted model, not a curated record. The transcript has 4 exons.
CUGCGCUUUACUCCACAGGCUGAGCUUGAGAAAGGCGGCAAGACCCUGAGAAGAAAUGGCGGCACGAAAAGUGUUGCGGAGGCUGUGGAGUUCCCAGUCCCGCCAUGCUGUAGGCGUUGAAAAAUGAUCUCCUCGCACCCCAAAAUAGCACAGAGGAGGCCCUGAAACCAGAUGGGGCCACGUGGGUGGAAACAAGGAGGUUCUCUUCAGUGGCUGGCACUAAACAGCACCCAAGGAACAAUCAGGAUGAAGGUCUCAGCCGAUGCCGCUGUGGCUAGAUGACGUUUGGACCUGAUUAAAGAAGGACAACAAAGGCCAAUUUGCCAUCACCAAAGGAGCAGCUUGACCUGGAGGGAUGAGGCCUGGAGGCCGACAGCAGGACUCCGUCAGUGAUUCUUUCAGCUCUUGAAAAUGAUCCCUGAAUCCAACGGAGCUGCAUCUACAGAAUGAAAAAGUCCAAGAAAGACACUUUCUCUCACCUUUUUGGAGCCUCUAGCCUGCCCUGGGAAGCCUGGUGGACUGGUGCUGAGAAGAGACCACGGCCCAGGUAGUUAUGCAGCCUGCAUGGUUGAUGGUAGAAGACCCAGGUGGGGAACAGAAAGACAGGAGUUUGUCACUCACCCUGCAGCUUGAACAAGACACUGAAUCUCUGAGCCUUAUAUUUUGUCUUUAUGUUAAAAUAGGAAUAAUUAUAUCAUCCUGAUGGGUUGUUUGGGGUCAAAGUAAUUAUCUAUAUUUUUGUAAAUUGCAAGUUGUUAUACUGUUGCUUGCAAAGAAGAACUACAACAGAAGUUUAGUCAGAGGUAAAAAUGGAGUAAAGGGAAGGAGCAGGAGGUCGAGAAAAAGAGAGUGGUCUCUUAAGAUUGUGAGACAUAUCAGAAGGUGGCAGGCCUGGGAAGGGAGUCAGUUCAGUGUAGGCCAGAGGAGGUAACCCAGGAGAGAGGAAGAAGCCCCAGCAGACAAGACAAGAAGAGGAGAUUAAAGUGAUAUGAAAGGUGCUAAAGACAUCCUCUACUUGGAUUGAGUUUUGUUUUUGUUUUUUGUUUUUUGUUUUUGUUUUA